CUUAGUAACGGCGAGUGAAGCGGGAAGAGCUCAAAUUUGAAAUCUUCAAGGUUUUACCUUGACGAAUUGUAGUUUAAAGAAGUGUUUUCUGUUGAAGUUUUGGUAAAAGUUCUUUGGAAUAGGACAUCAUAGAGGGUGAGAAUCCCGUAUUUGACCAUUAUUUUCAGCUGUGUGAUACACUUUCAAAGAGUCGGAUUGUUUGGGAAUGCAGUCCAAAAUGGGUGGUAAAUUUCAUCUAAAGCUAAAUAUUGGCGAGAGACCGAUAGCGAACAAGUACCGUGAGGGAAAGAUGAAAAGAACUUUGAAAAGAGAGUUAAACAGUACGUGAAAUUGUCAAAAGGGAAGCGUUUGACACCAGUGUUGUUUUCUCGAAAAUCAAUUAAAAAAAGUUGGAUUUUGUGUUGUAUUGACCUUAACAGCUUGCUUCACUCUUUUCCUGCUUUUUUUAAUGCACUUUUCGUUUAACAAGUCAACAUCAGUUUCUUUUGUUGUAAAAGGGUCAUUGGAAGGUGGCUUUCUCUUCGGAGAAAGUGUUUAUAGCCUUUGAUCUCUGCAAUCGGAGAGACUGAGGUCUGCAGCGUAGAUCCUUCGGGGUUAGAUACAUUUGUGCUAAGCUACAGCUUUUCAUAGACAACUUGUUGACUAUGUUUAGUCUUGUGACUUACCCGCUUAUGCUAUUUUACCUACGCUUAGGAUGUUGACAAAAUGGUUUUAAACGACCCGUCU
RNAcentral lists this ribosomal RNA (726 nucleotides) under Piromyces sp. RNAcentral describes it as "LSU rRNA". It matches the Rfam family "Eukaryotic large subunit ribosomal RNA", at positions 79 to 654 of the family's 3401-position model. Lineage: Eukaryota; Fungi; Neocallimastigomycota; Neocallimastigomycetes; Neocallimastigales; Neocallimastigaceae. The record is from RNAcentral.